CAGGGCUGCUCCACAGCAAGAUGUGAGACCAGUGUGGCAGAGUAUGAUGUGUACACAAUGAGGGACACACUGUAGCCAACCCAGUAGAUUACCCGUGCUGCAGUGCUGAUUGGGUCCUCACCUUGUUGUAGGAGAGCUGACAACAUGUACCAGCCAGCAGCAACUCCCAUGCUAACAGGCUUCUCCCCCGUGGGUAUGUAGCACCUCUGGAGUCGCUCGAUGAAGAAGAGGAUGCUGGCGAGGCCUGUCGUGUUAGCCGGGAUGCGCCGGUACAGAGCUGUGUCCGUUGGGGUUGUGUAGGCAAGCAUCUUCUUGGCAAGGUCCCUCGUAGGUGGCCGCAAACAGUUUACGGCUGUGGGAUGAGAACUUGUCUUGUGAAUGUGACGUUGGGAGGAGGGAAGCACAGGGGAAGAGGAGGACGAGGAGGAAGAGAGUUAAGAGUCACAAGAGGAGGAGGAAGGUGGAAAGAAAGAGGAAGGAGAGGAGGAGGAGGAGGAGGAGGAAGAUGGAGAAGGAAAGGAGAAAGAUAAGAAGGAAGGAAAUGCCGCAGAAGGAGAAGAGCAAUAAGAAAUUAGAAUUGACAGAGAAACCAGACAAGGGACUGCAUUUGAAGAAGCACAAGAACCAAGAAAUUACAUCAUUCAAUGAAAUGACAACAUAAUCUAAAGUACAGAUACCAAGGGGAAAUUGCUGGGUCAAGUGGCUACACUGACAUCUGAGGUUAGCAGGUUGGAGAGUGAGUGCAGCAGUCUUCAGGUUCAGCUAGACUGUGAGAGGGAUAAGUAUAACAAACUGCUGGGAGAAUCUCUUGCUCAUGAAAAGUUGUCUGAAGAUGUCAUAACUGAACCAAAAGGAGAAACAACAGGAUUGGGAGGAACUGAGCUUUAACAGAAGCUGCAACAACUGCAGGAGGCUCACAGGGUCCUGGAGAGCAGGUUAACUUGCAGCAUGAAGGAGGUGGCUGAGCUAAGUGACAGGAAGUAGCAGCUUAAGCAUGCUGUAGUGCAUGAGGAGACAGAGUCCAUCGGUGUGACUACAUCACCAUCUACCAGUUGCAGCGAGGAGUGAUGAAGCAACAAGCUCGAGAACGCGAGUUAGACCUUGCCAGCCUCCAUCAUGAAUGAGAGGAAAUGAAGCAAAACCACUCUGCAGGAUUUGAUAUCAAAGCUGGUGCAGGAAAAGGAAGCAGAUCAUGACCUUCAGCAGCUCGAGAAGAUAAGCAGCGUCCUUUAAGAGUCCAGUUGCUAUCUUUAGCAGUGUUGGAACCAGUGAGUCUGAGACACCCACCAGCAGUGGAAAGGUGGCUGACGAGCACCUCAAGCACUCUGAAAAGGUGGAGCAACAACAAGAAACAGAAAAUUGCAUCCAUCAUUCUUUGCCUGAGGAGGGAAUUGAUGCUCUGUUGACCCUUCACACUGAUGUCCCUCAUGAGGAGGCAGAAUAUGAAUCCUACAGAACUUGCCCAUAGAAAGACCAAAACUGUUACUGCUGCCACACUGCCACCACUUCCACUGACACCAAAAGCCCAACUGUGCAGAGAAUCCUGGACCUCCGCAAUGAAAUGGAGUCCACCAGUCACCUGGAGCACUUUAGCCUCCAAAAGUUCCAUCCGUGUCCAUUGUGUUUGGGUAAACUUAUCACUGUAUAAGGGGACAAGUAUCAGUGUAUGGUUACUAUAUACUCAUUUGUACUUAAAGAUGUCAUGUCACAUCAUUCUCUCUCUCUCUCUCUCUCUCUCUCUCUCUCUCUCUCUCUCUCUCUCUCUCUCUCUCUCUCUCUCUCUCUCUCUCUCUCUCUCUCUCUCUCU
Molecule: RNA transcript, 1807 nt
Organism: Scylla paramamosain (green mud crab)
Lineage: Eukaryota; Metazoa; Arthropoda; Malacostraca; Decapoda; Portunidae
Exons: 9
Source: RefSeq, a predicted model, not a curated record